GCACACUUGCCGGAGUGGUUUAAGGCGCUGUACUCAAGAUCCAGUAUCAAAAGAUGCUUGAGUUCGAGCCCCACAGUGUGCA
Non-coding RNA from Blyttiomyces helicus, 82 nucleotides. The record is from the annotation of a GenBank genome assembly. NCBI's taxonomy places the organism in Eukaryota, Fungi, Chytridiomycota, Chytridiomycetes.